RNAcentral lists this ribosomal RNA (301 nucleotides) under uncultured bacterium. RNAcentral's name for it is "partial 16S ribosomal RNA". It matches the Rfam family "Bacterial small subunit ribosomal RNA", at positions 509 to 807 of the family's 1533-position model. The record is from RNAcentral.
CAGCCGCCACGGUAAUACAGAGGGUGCGAGCGUUAAUCGGAUUUACUGGGCGUAAAGCGUGCGUAGGCGGCUUUUUAAGUCGGAUGUGAAAUCCCUGAGCUUAACUUAGGAAUUGCAUUCGAUACUGGAAAGCUAGAGUAUGGGAGAGGAUGGUAGAAUUCCAGGUGUAGCGGUGAAAUGCGUAGAGAUCUGGAGGAAUACCGAUGGCGAAGGCAGCCAUCUGGCCUAAUACUGACGCUGAGGUACGAAAGCAUGGGGAGCAAACAGGAUUAGAUACCCCAGUAGUCCCUGUCUCUUAUAC